RNAcentral lists this long non-coding RNA (209 nucleotides) under Capsicum annuum. RNAcentral describes it as "long non-coding RNA (CANN_LNC015617)". Lineage: Eukaryota; Viridiplantae; Streptophyta; Magnoliopsida; Solanales; Solanaceae. The record is from RNAcentral.
GGAAAGUGAAGCUCCUCACCCUUCUCCGUGAGCUUUAAGAGUCGAAACUGGACCAAGCUCGAACACAAGAUUGCUUUACUAAAAAAUGUUACAAUAUAAUAUUCAAACUUGGAAGCAAGAUCUUCACCCGGCUUAACCACUAAGAAACCCACUGCGCAAGGAACAUGAACAAUGUCAUGGAGAGAAGCCUCUCUAUCGGCAGCAAAUGG